CCUCUGGCCUCCGACGCCCUCCUCUGGCCGCCCUCGCCCUCCUCCGACCGCCCUCCCCCUCCGGCCUCCGAAGCUUGCCCCGCUCCCUCGUCACCGGUCGUUUCUCUCCCUCUGUCGUGUGAGGUGGCGGCACAUCUACCAGAGAGGUCACGAGAGGGGGAAGGAUUUUCGAUUUGAAAGCUUGGAUGCUUCACUGUUAUUUCAGAUGUGUUGUGGACUAACAUCCUUCGGCACUGUAAGUUGUGUCAUCUCUUAGCUCAAAAGUUUUAACCUAAAGUAGAGGAUCACUACAUAUGCUAGACAAACUUAAUUCUGAGACUCGUGUAUUAUUUGGCAUGGAUGAAAUCACAUAUCUUAGUUGCA
Molecule: long non-coding RNA, 363 nt
Organism: Aegilops tauschii subsp. strangulata
Lineage: Eukaryota; Viridiplantae; Streptophyta; Magnoliopsida; Poales; Poaceae
Source: RefSeq, a predicted model, not a curated record